UCUGAAAAGAUAUAGAAGGUCCAGCCUGCCCAGUGACAAAGUUAAACGGCCGCGGUACCCUAACCGUGCGAAGGUAGCGCAAUCACUUGUUCUUUAAAUGAGGACUAGUAUGAACGGCAUCACGAGGAUUAUACUGUCUCCCCCCUUUAAUCAGUGAAACUGAUCUCCCCGUGAAGAAGCGGGGAUAAACUUAUAAGACGAGAAGACCCUAUGGAGCUUUAAACUAACACCACCUGUCUAUAAACACUUCACAACAAACAGACAAAACCUGCGUGCUAGUUUUUGGUUGGGGUGACCGCGGAGUAAAAUAAAACCUCCACAAUGAAAAGACUUUUCCUCUUAAUCCAAGAGCAACAUCUCAAAGAAUUGGCAAACCAACACAACUGAUCCAAACAAUGUUUUGAUCAACGAAC
RNAcentral lists this ribosomal RNA (413 nucleotides) under Chiasmocleis hudsoni (Hudson's humming frog). Its description in RNAcentral is "partial large subunit ribosomal RNA". It matches the Rfam family "Bacterial large subunit ribosomal RNA", at positions 1830 to 2457 of the family's 2925-position model. The record is from RNAcentral. Lineage: Eukaryota; Metazoa; Chordata; Amphibia; Anura; Microhylidae.